This is a long non-coding RNA of Betta splendens (Siamese fighting fish), 6652 nucleotides long. RefSeq lists it as uncharacterized. NCBI's taxonomy places the organism in Eukaryota, Metazoa, Chordata, Actinopteri, Anabantiformes, Osphronemidae. The record is from RefSeq and is a predicted model, not a curated record. The transcript has 2 exons.
UAAAUCAGUGUACUUCAGCCCAACGGAUUGUCAUACUGAUCACGUUACCUGUGCUGAUGAACUAAUUUAUUUGUUGAUCUCGAUGCUACUACUACUUAAACUUAUUUUUAAAAAACAUAAAAUCAUAGCCUAUAAAGUACCAAACCCCUUAACUUUGGUACUAGCAACACAAGCCAAACAUUUUCAUACUUUUUUUGAAUUAAUUCAUCAUUAAUGUUAUCAAUAAUGACUUUCUAUAAUUAUUAAGAGUUACCGUACCCUACUACUACUAUAAUACUUUCAUAUAUGCUUAUUUUGUAUAUAGCCAUCUAAUAAAAGACAAUAGUCACAUUAAAUGAUAAUAGGUUUUUCUCUCUUAAGUUGCACAUAACGCUCAUUUGUCUAUAUUUUGUCUCCUUAUCAUUUUUGUAUUUUUUUUUUAUUUCUUUCCCCUCUGUCCUUAUUACGAUUAUAAUAUUUAAAAAAAACUUUUACAUAUAUUAUAAAGAUAACAUAAUCAUCUACAUUUAGACAUAGUUCAACUGUUUUUGGUAUUAAUUCUUGUAAUGUUUUGAUUUAGAGUAAGUAGAUCUGAUUUCAUUAGCUAAUAUGAGCAGAUCUUUCAUGCCAAGUUUACAAGAGUGCCUUAAUCAAAUACUGCAGUAGGUAGUAAUUCUAAUGUGUCCUCAGUCUUUCUUCAUGCAUGCUGUUUAUUUGGCUUAUUGGAUCCACAAUUCUAAUCUAGAACGGAAUACACUUACUUUUAUACUGGUUGUCUAUAAACCAAAAUCAAGACGUCAGUGGUCAAUUACGGCAAGCCUAAAUGCAUUUUCUUAAUUGCCUGAUUGGAGACUGUUAAUGGCGAGAUCUGAUAUUGGACAAGGAUUGGAUUCUCUUCAUUAGGCUGUGUGCUGCCGUAGGGAGGGAAAAGGAAUUGGUAUGGAGGUGGCAUCACUAUGAAAAGGCAGCCAAAGACAUUGAUUGGCAGCAGCACUGCAACAACCGUAUUAUCAUCAGUCAGUAAUAAUCAAACAUUUGUCAGUUAUUUUACAGUCAAGCUGUUGGUAGUUAAAGAUGAAAUGUUCUACACAACAACACAUGCUUUGGAGGCAAAUGUGACCUUAAAAUAAAAGUUUGGUGCUGCACAUUUAACAUUUAAUUGACAGCUACUUCUGCUUAAUGCUGAACUGGUGGAGAGAUCAGAACAUUAUUAUCCCUAAAGUUUUUGACUUUAGAAGCAACCUCUUCAUCUCUCAUCUUUCUGCAAAGUUUUUGUGUGCAGAAGAUUCUUGUCAGCCAGGCGACAGACAGUUCAACAGACUUUUAGAAAGACUUACUGUGAAGAAGUAGGUCACGAUGAAGCAUCAGAGGUGCUGACAGCUCUGUGAAAUGAGCAGCUACUUCGACAUGAAUACUAAUCACAGCUGUUACUACCACCAUAGCUUCCUCAUUUGACAAGAAAUGCAGGCAGUUAUAAUAUGCAUGAUGGACUACUUCUGUGAUUGCACCCCUUAAAGAGGAAGUUUCAGCAUAACAGUAUAUAGCAGUGGUUUUUCGGCAGGAAAAGGUCAAUUCUGACAUCCUCUUAUUUAUGUAUUCUUGUACAGUGUGUACCCAACCAUCCAUUCAUGUUCAUUUGAAGAAUGCAAUAGUCAGUCAGCCAGCCUUUGCACAGGUAGGAAGUGUCUCUCGGCCUUACCACUCACCGCAUGUGGUGCUUGCUCAAGAAUACUUCACCAAGUGCACACAAGGAUCACAUUUAUGUGUUUCAUUAUUUAAAUGUUAGUUUAUGCAUUCAAUUUAACUUGUUUUAUUUAUGUAGCACCAAUUCAACAAAUGUUAUCUCAACAUCUAACUCUACCAAGAUGGCGCGGCGUGUGUGUCAUCAAGUUCCAGCAGCUCUGUAAUGCUGCAGAGCUGGAGUUAAACGCCGGGAAAGGAAAUGGAGGUACAAGCCAUACAUGCCAUCCAUUAUUACUGGAAACAUCCGCUCUCUCUUUAACAAGCAGGACAAGCUAACGGCGCUUAUGCGUCUGCAGCGCGUGUACCAGGAGAGCAGCCUGCUGGGUUUGACCAAGACAUGGAUGAAUCAGGACACACCGGACUCUAUGAUCUCUGUUAACAGAUUUACGUUGGUGUGGGCGGACCGGAGUGUAGCGCAGGGCAGAAAGGCAAAAGGCGGCGGACUGGCGGUGUUUGUGAACGACAGAUGGUGUAACCCGGACCACAUCACCAUUAACAACAACACUGUAGCAAGGGCAUUGAACUGAUGGCAGUCAGCUUUCGGCCGUACUAUCUCCCAGGUGCUCGUAGUCAUUGCUCAUUGGCGAUGUGUGCACAGCAACGUGUCCAGGCUGCAGACAGGGCACUCUCUCUCCCCUGCUUACACUCUAAUGGUGAAACAACAGACACCACAGGUUAAAACAGUGAAGAUCUGGACUGAGGGGGCAACAAAGCAAUUGAAGGACUGCUUUAAAACCACACACUGGGACGUUCUCUGCAGCCCACAUGGGGAGAACAUUGACAGUCUCACACUGCAUCACGGACUACAUUAAUUUCCAUGUGGAAAGCACUUUGGCAACAAAGAGAGUGCGUUUCUCCAAAGACAAGCCCUGGGUGACCCCUGAGCUGAAUGUCCUUUUAAAUGAGAAUAGGGCCUUUCUCUUAGGGAACAAGGAGUACAGAGGGACUUAAAGUAUAAAAUCAGAAAGUGCAAAGACAACUAAAAGAAGAAGCUGGAGCAUCGCCUGGAGCAGAACAACUUCUGUGAUGUGUGGAGAAGAUUAAAACACUUCUCUGGCCACAGACUGGCUGGAAAUGGUCGCCAGUUCACAGGUGACCAAGCCUUGGCAAAUGAGUUAAACCUGUUUUUUAAUAAAUUUUAUUCUGCCCAGUCUCCAACCACUGCUUAGUCUCCAACCACACGGCCCCCUCUUCACACCUCUCCAGUCCAGGCGUCUCCUCCCAGCUGCAGCUGUUCACACCUCAGCACCACGCAGUCUACUCUUCCCUUCAACAAAGGGACCCCCCAAACAACCCACAGCUCCAGACCAGCCACCGCCCACCCCCCCUUUGCCUCACUCUGAACCAGGAUAGGGGGGAGUUAACGAGGACAAAAGCCAGGAAGUUAUCUCGAUUGUUACCUAGUUUGGAACACCCCUGUCUGUACCGUAGCCUUGCUUGACCGUUCUGUUGCCUGACUGCCUGCCUCUGUGACUUUGCCAUUGCUUGCUCCUCUUGUGCUGUUGUGCCUAUCUGCCUACGUGUACCAACCUCCGCUUGUAUCCUGACUCUGAGUUGCAUUCAAACCCUUGUACUUACCUGUCUGCCUUCAGUGCUGUGUAAUUGGGUCCGCCAUCUUGAACCAUGUUUGUGACAGUACGAUCUGGCCCGACUUGGACCCAGCCAGCCCCAGGGGUUUGUUCAAUUCAGUUUUGUCUGUCUGUGAAGAGGAAUUCUGCGACGCCAGGACAUACCUGGACAUCUCUGCGCUGGUGAAGGACAACCAGGAAGCAGCCAGCCCGAAAGCCCAGCUGAGCGCAGUUGAGGUGGCGGUUCUCGUCCUGGAGGACGAGGAUUGCGGGCUAGACUUUCCCGACGUUCACACCCUCUUCGACCAGCUGUGCUCAAGUGAGGAAUUAGAGCACGUCCUGCGCGCCGCGGCCGCCUGUGCGUUGAUCCCUCAUUCAACAUCGGCUCAUGGCUCUCCACUGACGUCCCACUGACGUCCCACCACCAGCUCCUGCUGUGCUCUCCACUCCUUGGUUCCUACUUGGUCUCGUGGUCCUGCUCAUGUGUCUGCUCCUGCUUUGCCUCUGUGCCCUGCUAAAUCCUCAGCUCCGGUAUCUCUGCAGUCGCUAGACUGCGCUCUGGCUCUACCUGCUGGGGAGCGGCCGUAACCAGACGCUGCAGGAAUCCCUCCGAUCCCCCCUGUGUUCUGAUCCCACCAUCGACCUUCAUGCUGGUUCCUGGCGACCCUACCCUGACCUCUCAUGGUCAGAACCAGUCAGAACCCUGAGGACUCUGAGCUAAUUCCCCAACCUCAUCUACCUCAGCCCGCCCCGGCCGCAGCCUGUCCCGGUCGCAGCACCGCAGCCUGCUCCAGUCACAGAUCCGCAGCCUGCCCCGGCCGCAGCACUACAGCCUGUUCCAGUCAUGGACCCUCAACGCAACCGGCUCCAUCUCUGGCUCCUCAUCUGCCAUUGUCCCUGGCUUAGCGACCUCCUCGACUCUUCAGCUUCCUGGAUUGGCAUCCGCCAACGUUGUACCUAUCUGCCUACAUGUAUCGGCCUCCACCUGUAUCCUGACUGGCAGACAUCACCGGCCCCCAUGCUGGAGGACGUCGUCGCUCCCUCUGGGUCUCUGGAGGCGGCUUGUUUCAAUGCCGACCUCCCAGAACCCACCGUUCGCCACUGGGCGUUAGUGGUCUUCUUCCAGCCCAACGGCUGCUGAAUUGAGCCUCGCUUCACCUUCAUCCUCCCUGAGAUGAUGAAAGGAUGACUUUAUGUUGUUUUUCCCGUGUUUGGACUUCUCUCAUGGACUGGUUGUAAACGUUUCUUGGACUCAAUCUGUGUAUAAUGAUCACGUGUUGUAACUCUGCCGUGUUCGUUUUGGUUCUCCUUUUUGGUUUACCUCCAUGUUAGAACCAAAGUUUGGAUCACCCGUCUGUACCGUAGCCUUGCCUUCUGUUGCCUGACUGCCUGCUUCUGUGACUUCGCCAUUGUCUGCUCUUCUUGUGCUGUUGUGCCUUUCUGCCUACAGUACAGAAGACAUCCUGCGUGGUACCUUUACCAAAGACAUCUCGGCCGACUGACUUCAAAGACUACAGACCGGUGGCGCUGACCUCUCAUCUGAUGAACACGAUGGAGAGGCUGGUGCUCACCCAUCUUCGUAUUAUGGUGAGUCAGUCAAUGGACCUGCUACAGUUCGCCUACCAGACGGGUAUCGGAGUUGAGAAUGCUGUCAUCUAGACCAGGCUGGGAGCUCUGUGAAGAAUCAUGUUCUUUGACUUCUCCUGUGCUUUCAACACCAUCCAACUGUUGCUUCGGAGGGACAAGUUGAUGCACAUAGGGGUGGACCAAUAUCUGUCUGCAUGGAUGCUGGACUACCUCUCGAACCAAUUGCCGUAUGUGAGGGCUUGCCACUGUGAGUCUGACAUGGUUGUCUGCAACACAGGAGCCACGCAGGGAACAGUUCUGGAUCUGUUUCUGUUCACUGUCUAUACUGCAGAGUUCAUGUCCACCUCAGCAUCCUGUCAUCUGCAGAAGUUCUCAGAUAAGGCAGAUAAAGAGUUCUUGGGUAACUUCCCAUAACAUAGGAAUAACAGAAUGGGGUUGGUUCACCAGUAAUAUUGACUAUAUAUGACAAUAUUUGAAUGUUUACAUUGUUUAUUUAGCUUAGCAUAUGGUGUUCAUUGGCUAAUAACUCAUGAUAUGAGCCAAUAUCACAAUAUGAUAGCUAGCAUGCUUUGGUACAUAUCCACAGAUUCCUUAGGAUUCCUUAUUUAGCUAGCGAGUAGCUUAGCGUAUGUUGUUCUAAAGAAGAUCGUUGCAGAGAAGCUCGAGACCUAUUCACAAGUCCAACAGUAAGGACAAACCCAACGACUCUGUAACGAUAGGGGAGGAGUUUGAGACUUCAAACCUAGUCACUACCCUCAGCCCUUUGUUUUCAUUUUGAGCCCGUCGUUAAAGGUGGGAGGGGAAACCUUACUGAAGGAUAAAUGUCUGGCCUUCAGCCAACUUCCUUCAGACUAAAGAAGUCAUCUGUAUUAGUGGUAAAAUGUUUCUACUGAAAAGAAUCCAACUGACAUGACUCAACCUUCAGACUUCGCAAAAUUUGAUUUGUUUUAUGAUAAGCUUAUUAUUGUGUGAAUGGUUAGAAGUAUGUAUGUAUUGAUAGAAUCUAAGUUCUAGUCAUUUAGGGAUUUGAGAAUGCAUUUGCUUCACUGUGUCCAAGUGUAAAUUCAAUAUUUUUUUAUUAUUAUUAAUAUUUUGUUUUCCAUGUGAUUAUUCAUUUUCAUUCUGAGGAAUAAUAUUCUAUUGACUACGCAAUUUUAUCAGGGAGACAUUGUAAGCUGUGCCUCAGACUGACAUUAUCUUUUAUAGUUAUAUAUAUAUCAUCUAAAAGAAGCUCUAUUUUUUCAUAGAUAGUGUAAAUGUGUAUUUGCUUACCACAUAAAAUCAAUAUUCUUGGUCAUUUGCUUAAUGGCUGGGUGUUACAAAAAGUAAUAUUUUACACAGUUCAUAUACUGUUACUUUACAGUAUUAUAUAGUGUGAUUUUGCAUUUAUAUGUACAAAGAAAUAGGUGAACGCUGCAAAAAUUGUAAGGCAACUCUGAAAUGGAGAAUGGGGGUCAUAUAAAUGGGAGUGAGGCGUGGAUUAAGUAAAAGUGGAAGAAGAAAGCUUGUGUGCAGUGAAGUGAACUGGGGCACCAAGGCAGGGGUGAGAAAGAUGAAAAGGGAAGGGAGAGGGGGGGGAAUAAAGGAGCUUUUAACAGGACCAGUUACUGCACUGAGCUUGAAGGAAGGAUUAAGGAUUGCUUGUGAUUUUUUUAUAAUUUAUUUUUGGAGGAGGGUAUUAUGUUUCCAGGAGCAUGUAAAUUGUGUGUGUAUGCAUGUUUAAUGUAUAUUUAUGUGUAUAAAUGAAGGAACAACAUAAAAGGCAUCUGCAUCUA